CUAUAAAAUAUACAGAAUACAGCACCAUACCUCUUACAUCCAGUGACCUCUCCUGUGAUGUAGACUUUCCUCAGCAUCUUCAUACGGAGAUAGGACCAUCAUAAUACCUUCUUUCAGCCACGUCUAGUCUCUGAUUCAGCUGCAGCCUAUCC
Long non-coding RNA from Bufo bufo (common toad), 152 nucleotides. RefSeq lists it as uncharacterized. The transcript is spliced from 3 exons. The record is from RefSeq and is a predicted model, not a curated record. NCBI's taxonomy places the organism in Eukaryota, Metazoa, Chordata, Amphibia, Anura, Bufonidae.